RNAcentral lists this ribosomal RNA (254 nucleotides) under uncultured bacterium. Its description in RNAcentral is "partial 16S ribosomal RNA". It matches the Rfam family "Bacterial small subunit ribosomal RNA", at positions 524 to 776 of the family's 1533-position model. The record is from RNAcentral.
GACAGAGGGUGCAAACGUUGCUCGGAAUCACUGGGCGUAAAGGGCGCGUAGGCGGCAAUUCAAGUCAUCUGUGAAAUCUCCGGGCUUAACCCGGAACGGUCAGGUGAUACUGUUUUGCUAGAGUGCGGAAGGGGCAAUCGGAAUUCUCGGUGUAGCGGUGAAAUGCGUAGAUAUCGAGAGGAACACCAGAGGUGAAGACGGGUUGCUGGGCCGACACUGACGCUGACAGCGCGAAAGCCAGGGGAGCAAACAGG